RNAcentral lists this long non-coding RNA (1647 nucleotides) under Salmo salar (Atlantic salmon). RNAcentral's name for it is "lncRNA (ENSSSAG00000117709.1)". Lineage: Eukaryota; Metazoa; Chordata; Actinopteri; Salmoniformes; Salmonidae. The record is from RNAcentral.
CUACAGUAAUGUGGAAGGUUGAAUGCUGCAGCAGAUAGAAAAGCACUGCAGUCCAGUGUGCAUUUGUCCUAAUGAAAACAUCUUGAUCUCCAACAAAAAUAUAGAGAUAAAACAGGCUCUCAAAAAUGGAUAACGAAAAUAUGAUUUAAAAAUGUAUUUAAAAACAAUUAAAACAAAGCAUGACUCAUUUUGACAGUGGAAAAGUUGACAACUUUCAGAGCCUUGCUCUCCAUCUUGUUUCUAUUUAAGUUGACCAUUCAAGUAGGCAAUUCAAUGGUCAUACAAAAAGUGAGGGGAAAAUGGUCCAGAAAUCAGCUAAUAACACUAAAAUAACGACUGGUCUCAUUUCAAAAUGAUCAUGUUCUUUUUUUCAUAAACAUGACCAGGCAUCAAAAGGGAAUAGAAGGCCAAGGGAAUCUGCAAAUUCAACUAUUGCCUCUACACUUUUCCUGACAGCACACUUCCUGAAAAACCUCUACAUUGGAUUUCAAACAAUAUAAAAACAGGUAAGCACGUGGAACCAUUCACAUGUGGUACAAAAUGGAUAAGCGUUAUUCGACAUUCAACAUUUACUGACACCACGUUUGAACAUAUUUAGGCUAUACAGUAUACCACAAAAUAGGUAUAUAAUGUAACUAUAUUAUACUUGUAUCUACUUGUCUGAACUCAUCUGAGGUUGCAUUGCUGUUUAUCUUUCACCAGUCUAAACACAAAAGCUAAGGUGCUAGAAAAAAAUAGCACAUUCCAUGCAUUUUUUGAAAGAUGCCAUGCUAUUAAAAGGUUCUGCACUGUGGUUCAUUAGUAAAUAGAUAAAUUAAAAAAUACAUAUCCUGUCUUUCAUGUCUAUUCCUUUACCAUUUCCAUUCUUCUGCAGGUGUGGCAGAGAGCUUUUCUUCUUCCUUUGCCUACACUGUCUGGAAUGUUUUCCUCAUUGACACUAUUUUUGGUUCAUCCAAAAAGGACAGCCAUUCCCAAGUGUGAUUCUUCUUGCACAUGUCCAUGCCUUCAAUGGCAAUACUGACUGCAUUUGACUUAGCUUUUUGCAAUUGAUCUAAUAUUGCCAAAUCCUUCCUGAAUCGAUCAUUUUUCUUUGACAGGAGCUCUGGUUCGACUGGAAGCAUCAUAGAACAUACCUUCAGAAAACUGGCUAGGAUCAACUCAACAAUCUGAACAGUCAACUCAAAAAAGUCUGUGUCGGUCCACAUGGUAAGCCUGUCAAACACAAGGUUCUUGGGUACAUCAAUGUCAUCAAACAAGCAUGCAUUUCCUUUAACAAGGUCUCUCCCAUCUUCCUGCCAUUCCUUAAAUUUGGUAACAAGGGUUUGGUAUCUUUCUUCCAUCUCCAACACGUUUCCCUUCAAAGUUAAGGCUCUCCAGAGAGGAUCAAUGAUAAGCUUGGAAACCAGACCCAGAGCUCUGCAUCCGGCCUUGAACUGUUGAACCUCCAAAUCAGCAACAACUGCAGCAAGCAAACUACUCUCAGCUCCGUACGUACUGGUAAACUCAACCAAAUCAUCAUGGAUGCUACACACUCCAGCAGAAUUAUGAAACAGACCAUCAAUUCUGUGUCCAAUGGAUAGAGACAAAGGAACUUCUUCAAAUUCUUUUUUGCUGGUCAAAAAGCUUUCGAACGGAACAAGCUGACCG